UAUAAUGAAACCCACUCUUUUACAAAGACCAAAAAGGUUAUUCUAUAACCCAUUAUAA
This 58-nucleotide transfer RNA is filed under the name Bugula neritina. RNAcentral's name for it is "tRNA-Val". The record is from RNAcentral. Lineage: Eukaryota; Metazoa; Bryozoa; Gymnolaemata; Cheilostomatida; Bugulidae.